AUGUGUGUGGCUUUAAAUUUGGCAUUUUUUCACAAACAUGUGAAAGAGGGUAUAGACAGUCUUUUUAAUUGGAUGAAGCCUUAUUUUCCUUUCCUCCUGGUGGUUAAGUCCUUGUUAUAUAUUAAUUUUUGCUCUGUUCCUUUGGGAGAGGGGGAGUUGGAAUGUAAGGAAAGAAAAGGAAUUGUUGCGACUUUUGGUGACUUGUUUUUCCUCCAUCCCAGGAUUCACCCGUCCUUCCGGUUGGAGAAUUCUCCGAGCCAUUUGUACAUUUCAUCACUCAGUGCAUGCGAAAACAGCCAAAAGAAAGGCCAGCACCUGAGGAAUUGAUGGGCCACCCGUUCAUCGUGCAGUUCAAUGACAGGAACGCGGCCGUGGUGUCCAUGUGGGUGUGCAGGGCUCUGGAGGAGAGGCGGAGCCAGCAGGGGCCCCCGUGAGGCCUGCGUGGGGCACUGGAGCCCAGGACUGGUCACCAAGGAGAAAGCCUGCCUGUCACAC
Molecule: long non-coding RNA, 495 nt
Filed under: Dasypus novemcinctus (nine-banded armadillo)
Lineage: Eukaryota; Metazoa; Chordata; Mammalia; Cingulata; Dasypodidae
Description: lncRNA (ENSDNOG00000051351.1)
Source: RNAcentral